This 3145-nucleotide unclassified non-coding RNA is filed under the name Cimex lectularius (bed bug). Its description in RNAcentral is "tyrosine-protein phosphatase non-receptor type 2- like, transcript variant X1". The record is from RNAcentral. Lineage: Eukaryota; Metazoa; Arthropoda; Insecta; Hemiptera; Cimicidae.
GCCAGUGCCGACCUCUCUCCAGUCGGAGUCAACCAGUCGUCGAUCCCCCGUCUCCCCUGCCCAGAGCCAAAGUCAGAGACUCGGAUCGUCUGCCAGUCGCGCUGUUUUGUUUGUCGUUUCCUUUCUUCGAAGUCGAUCCCGUUUUUUAUUCCGCCCAGUGACCGUUGCCUCUGAGGAGCCGAGACGACGCGAUCGCCCCCAACACGUGGAGUGUCGUGCACUUUUCCAGGGAAACGAUUCGAUUUAAAUGGGAACUGACAAUCCGAAGACAAACGUGGAAAACGAGUUUAACGAAAUCGACCGAAGCGAUGGAUGGAUUCAGUUGUAUCUGGAGAUAAAAGUGGAAAGCUCUAAGUACGACUUUUCCACGUCUGCGGCGAUAAAGAAAAAGAAUGCGGCGUUCAACAGAUACCGGGACGUCAAUCCGUACGACCACUCGAGGAUCGUUUUGCAGAGGGGGACAUGCGAUUAUAUCAACGCCAAUUUAGUUAAAGUUCCAAAAGCAAAUAGAAAAUACAUUUUAACUCAGGGUCCCUUACAACGAACCGUUGGCCAUUUUUGGCUUAUGGUAUGGGAGCAAAAAAGUCGUGGGAUUGUUAUGUUAAAUAGAAUAUUAGAAAAUAAUCAGAAAAAAUGCCACCUUUAUUGGCCCAGAGGUGAGAAGGCUCACGGAGAAAAUGUACUAACAUUAACAGAUGUCGGUCUUUCGGUAACAUUCGUCUCGUUUGAUGAUAAAAAUGCUUAUCCUAAAACUAUACUGAGGCUCACUGACUUAGAGUCAGGGGAAAGUAGGGAGGUCAUACAUUUUCAGUACACCAUGUGGCCUGACUUUGGUGUUCCCGAAAGUGCACGAUGCUUCGUACGGUUCUUGUGCCUUGUCAGGAGGAGCGGAAUCCUAGAAGAGGAUAGUGGAGGUCCGCCUGUUGUCCAUUGUUCAGCCGGGAUCGGAAGGUCGGGCACCUUCUGCCUCGUUGACUCGUGUCUCAUUCUCAUGAAAAAAUUGGGCCAGAAAGAUGUAAACAUUAAAGAACUUCUACUGGAGAUGAGAUCAGAUAGAAUGGGCCUGAUUCAGACCCCGGGGCAACUUCGAUUCUCUUACUUAGCUGUAAUCGAAGAACUGACAAUGGAUUGGGAAUCACAGAAAGAAUUUGAAUGUCUACCUGAAGAGGAGUCUGCAUGGAAGAACACAAUAUCGGAGUCUGACUCAGAAUCAGAUGAUGAACCGCCUCCUUUGCCACCGCCGCGAAGUGACAGCAAAAGAGAAAUACCUCCAUCACCACCUCAUGACUUACCUUUACCUCCAGACAGGCCACUCCCGAGUGAACCACCAACGCCUGAGACGCCCACACCUGAAAACGAACUUUCCAACAACGAUGCUUCAAUGCAUUAUAAUGAUUUGGGCGAGGGUCUCAGGGAGAGAAAGAGGGUUGAAGCGAACAAGAAGACAUCUGAUAUUAUAUCGGAAAUGAAAAGGAAGCAGGAAGCGGCCGAGAGUUGGCAGAGAGUUAAGAGAAAACACACCGAAGACUCAGAUGAAGGUGAGAACCCUCCGACAAAGAAAAGUUGAUUUUCUCCCAGGAGCCCACAAUUCACAUCAAACGUUUUCCUUGAAAUACUUUUGUGUUUAUAAUUUGAUUUUCUUGACCUGUUAAUACAAUAGAUGUGAUAUUAAAUUUUCAAUUUUUAAAUAUUAAGUUAUUUUUUAUCAGUUUAUGAAAUUGUUUGAACUACAUUUUCUACUUUUUCUCCCCCCUGCUAAUUGUAGAAAAUAUUUUCAACAAUAAACACUUGUGUAAUUAUUAAAAUUUUAAUUUCUUACAAAUUUCCUAUAAAUAAAUAUUACAUAAUACAAUUAUUUUCUCACUCGACUCACAUUUUAAACUUUUUUUAGUUUACUUUACAUUACUUUUUGAGUAUUCCCAAUUCAGAACUUCUGUGUUUCAGACAAUUUCAGUUUUGGGUUGUUAAAUUUAAUUUUAACUGUUAAUAAAUGACGGACAUCUGUUUAGCAAAUUUUGUCAAUAGUUUAUUAGUUUUGAUUCUAAGACUAAAUUUAUGGGAAAAUGAAAGCAAUAAAAAAUAUGUAAUAAACUUGAUAAUGAGUAAAAAAUCUAUUUAAAUUUACUUGAAAAAAAUCUACACAAUCUAAUUUUAUAAAAACAAAUUUCUUAAAGUAAAAAUAAAAAGGUAAAACUAUUAAUGUGGUAUAAUGAGUUAACCUAUAUUUCCAGAUAGACUGACAGUGUACUUGUACACUUUAAAAAAUGGUGGUGGUUUAAUAAUUAUAAACUUUUUAUUUUCCUAAUUGUAUAUUUUCAGUUUUUCUUCUUUGACUGAUUAAUUUUAUGUUAUCCUUAAAAGCCAUGCAUUACAGAGAGUAUUUUAUUAGGCUAAAGUAUCGUGAAGAAAUAUUGCAUGCUGAAAAGGGGGCUGGCUGCCUCAAAAUAUAUAGCUUUAUUUAUUUGGUACUUUUAUGUAAUAUGGAUAAUGUGAUGGUUACCAAAUGGGUGAAAAAUGUUCUAAGGCAGUCCUAAACAUUGCACAGAAAAUAAUUUUUAUAGUUGAGAUGAAGGAUUUACAUUUUCUAAAAAGGAAGCUGUUUUAUAAGGCGGAAGAAAUAUAAAUGCGAUGAAAAUUUAAAUUCAAGGACAAAGAUAAUUAACCAGAUUGUUAAUCCCAUUGACUAAUUCUAACGCUGGUUUCAAAGACUGCAUUGAUCAAUUAAUGGUGAGGAAAAUGACGAUGUAGUAGUUCCAAUUUGGUACAGUUGUACUAUAGCCGCAUUUAACAAGGACUGGAAUCUUGGGUAACUAAAGAACAUAAUAAAUAUUGGGAGUGCAAACCAGGAACUGCUCCAGUAAAAUGCCAGCUUAAAAACAUUGGACUAUCACAGAUGACCAAUGUCAAUUAUGUCCAGGAGAGAAAAAUAACAUGCCCUAUGCAACUACCCCACAAUGGCUAGGAAAACGCUAUGGAAACAGAAAGUCGUUCUUGAGCUACACAGAUCCAGACUUCCAAGAAGAGAGAAUUCUCUACCUCAUAAAAAUAUCAAUGUUAAUUAAUUGUUAAAAAACCAUUUUAAUUUUUUUUAACUUAUUUAAGAAAUCGAAAAACUAUUGCAAUAAAGUGUAGUUUAUGUUAAAAA